Small nucleolar RNA from Pongo abelii (Sumatran orangutan), 109 nucleotides. The record is from Ensembl. Lineage: Eukaryota; Metazoa; Chordata; Mammalia; Primates; Hominidae.
AUUAUUUUGUGGUUCAUAAAUGUGAAACACACUUACAGUUUUCAUGCUCAUGUGUGAGAUAUCCCUCCUUCAAACCUUGUUACAAUGUUGGCACAUUACCUGUCCGACA